Capsicum annuum is the source of this 553-nucleotide long non-coding RNA. RefSeq lists it as uncharacterized. NCBI's taxonomy places the organism in Eukaryota, Viridiplantae, Streptophyta, Magnoliopsida, Solanales, Solanaceae. The record is from RefSeq and is a predicted model, not a curated record. The transcript has 3 exons.
GAGAUGUGAAGAGAAUUUGUGCUAGGUGUUUGGAUUGUAAGCAUGCUAAAUCUUGUAUCCAACCCCAUGGAUCGUACACCCUUUUGCCUAUUCCUACUGGUCCUUGGCUAGAUAUUUCUAUGGAUAUUGUUGUUGGCCUCCCAAGGACUAGAAAUGGUUUUGGAAAAUUCGAGGAUGAAUUCAUUUGAAGAAGGGGAGAAUGAUGUACAUCAGAGUAACACUACUUCAGGAAGGAAAGAUCCAGCGACGAAACACGGACCUUCGUGGAACACUCUUGGAGAUUUUCAGGUAAUGGAGCUUGGAAAUGUAGAAGUCAUAGCCGAGAUCAAUAAGAGUUAGUGGUUCCGACAGUUUCCAUAGAUCAGUCAAUUUGUUAUUGAGGUAUCCGUGUGUUAAGAGUUUGCUAAACAAUUUGAUUAUGACUGAUUGAUUCCAAGGUUGGUAUAUGUACUGUUUGUUUUCCUCUGUUAACGGAAUUGAGUUUGACAGAGGAUCCUCUUCCAUAAUCUUUCCAUUGGUUCUUUCUUAAACUUGAUUGAGUUCAUUGGUUCUA